Molecule: ribosomal RNA, 242 nt
Filed under: uncultured bacterium
Lineage: Bacteria
Description: partial 16S ribosomal RNA
Rfam family: Bacterial small subunit ribosomal RNA
Source: RNAcentral
GACAGAGGAUGCAAGCGUUAUCCGGAAUGAUUGGGCGUAAAGCGUCUGUAGGUGGCUUUUUAAGUCCGCCGUCAAAUCCCAGGGCUCAACCCUGGACAGGCGGUGGAAACUACCAAGCUGGAGUACGGUAGGGGCAGAGGGAAUUUCCGGUGGAGCGGUGAAUGCGUAGAGAUACGGCGAAAGAACACCACGGCGAAAGCACUCUGCUGGGCCGACACUGACACUGAGAGACGAAAGCUAGG